Molecule: long non-coding RNA, 1400 nt
Filed under: Homo sapiens (human)
Lineage: Eukaryota; Metazoa; Chordata; Mammalia; Primates; Hominidae
Description: HSALNT0068980
Source: RNAcentral
AUGAGGUCUGACUUUGUUGCCCGGGCUGGUCUUAAACUCCUGGCUGAAUGUGAUCCUCCUGCCUUGGCCUCCCCAAGUGCUGGGAUUACAGGGGUGAGCCAUUGCAUCUGGUGUGAAGCUGGGAUUGCAGGUGUGAGACAUGGCAUCUGGUGUGAAUAUCUACUGGUCUCUCAUUCCAUGUAAGGAGAAACACCCACAGGUGUGGAGGGGCAACCCACCCCUUCAAUCAGGAACCUCAGAAUGUGACAUUUGUAAAUUGGGUGGUUGCAGAUGUAAUGAAUUAACUUGGCCACAUACUGGAGUAAGGUGGGCCCUUCACACCAUAUGACUGGUAUCCUUAUAAGAAGAAAAGAAGAGACACAGAGGGAAGACAGCCGUGUGCAUCUGGAAUGAUGCAUCUGAAGCCAAGGAAUGCCGCGCAUUGCCGGCCACCACCCAAAACUGGAAAAAGUCAGGAAGGAUUCUUCCCUAGAACCUUCAAAGGCAGCACAGCCCUGCCAACACCUGGAUUCAGACUCUGGCCUCCAGAACUGUGAGAGGAUGAAUUUCUGUUGUUUUCAGCCACCCAAGCUUAGGAAAUGGGUUGCAGCAGACUGGGAAUAAGACAGGCAGCCAGGCAGCCUCCGUGGAAUUCCCAGGCAGCUUGCAGGAGCCACAGUGGGCCCUGGGCUCUGAGAAGGUCUGAGGCCCAGCAGGUGCAGGGGCCUAAAUUAUUUCUCGGCAAGGAGGAAGGAGGCUCAUCCAGAACGUAGAUCCCCUUCCUCCUUCUCACACCUCACAAGGUCACAGCGAGGUGGCUGGGAGGAGAGCCAGUGACUUUUCACUGAGGUGUGUGGGAGACAGCUUGGCCACCCUUGGCCUCUGAAGGGAGGAGGUGGCCUGAAAGAGGGCGGCUUCGGAACUUCCCAGUUCCUGCUUGAUGGCCUGUGUGUAAAGUAUUCCUGUUUAGGUUUCAAAAUCCUCUGAGAAACAUAAUUCUCAGAAAAUCCAGGCACCCAAUCCAGCUCCCUGGCCUUCCCUGAAAUCUGAAGUCAAAGGGGCUGAGCCAGCCUGCCCUGGGUGUCAGGCCUCUGAGCCCAAGCUAAGCCAUCAUAUCACCUGUGACCUGCACGUACACAUCCAGGUGGCUGGUUCCUGCCUUAACUGAUGACAUUCCUCCACAAAAGAAAUGAAAAUGGCCUGUUCCUGCCUUAACUGAUGACAUUGUCUUGUGAAAUUCCUUCUCCUGGCUCAUCCUGGCUCAAAACCUCCCCCACUGAGUACCUUGUGACCCCCACUCUGCCCGCCAGAGAACAACGCCCCUUUGACUGUAAUUUUCCCUUACCUACCCAAAUCCUAUAAAACGGUCCCACCCCAUCUCCCUUCACUGACUCUCUUUCAGACUCAGCCCGCCUGCACCC